GGGAUGGCUAAAGAACUUAAUGUUAAAAAGCUGAAGAUCUUCACUGAUUCUUAGCUUGUCGUCGGUCAAAUACAAGGUCAAUUUGAAACUAAAGAUUCUAUUUUAUCUCAAUAUUUACAUAAUAUGAAAGAAUUGUCAAAAAGCUUUGAAGAUAUAAAAAUCAUCUAGAUAUCCAGAUCGAAAAAUGCUUGAGCUGAUGCUCUAUCU
Molecule: long non-coding RNA, 207 nt
Filed under: Elaeis guineensis (African oil palm)
Lineage: Eukaryota; Viridiplantae; Streptophyta; Magnoliopsida; Arecales; Arecaceae
Description: long non-coding RNA (EGUI_LNC055143)
Source: RNAcentral